This 266-nucleotide ribosomal RNA is filed under the name uncultured bacterium. Its description in RNAcentral is "partial 16S ribosomal RNA". It matches the Rfam family "Bacterial small subunit ribosomal RNA", at positions 88 to 354 of the family's 1533-position model. The record is from RNAcentral.
CCGGCGACCGGCGCACGGGUGAGUAACACGUAUGGAACCUGCCCGCAGCAGGGGGAUAAGCGGAAGAAAUUCCGUCUAAUACCGCGUAACAACGUUGGGAGGCAUCUCCCGAUGUUUAAAGAUUUAUCGGCUGCGGAUGGCCAUGCGGCGCAUUAGCUAGACGGCGGGGUGACGGCCCACCGUGGCGACGAUGCGUAGGGGUUCUGAGAGGAAGGCCCCCCACACUGGGACUGAGACACGGCCCAGACUCCUACGGGAGGCAGCAG